RNAcentral lists this ribosomal RNA (133 nucleotides) under Castor canadensis (American beaver). The record is from RNAcentral. Lineage: Eukaryota; Metazoa; Chordata; Mammalia; Rodentia; Castoridae.
AUCUAUGGCCCUACCACCCUAAACGCACCCUAUCUUGUCUGGUCUUGGAAGCUUAGCAGGGGCAGGCCUGGUUAGUACUUGGAUCAAAGACAGAUCUUCAGAAAAGACUGCUCAGAGACAAGCAGUUUGGAGA